Molecule: long non-coding RNA, 1166 nt
Organism: Mesocricetus auratus (golden hamster)
Lineage: Eukaryota; Metazoa; Chordata; Mammalia; Rodentia; Cricetidae
Exons: 3
Source: RefSeq, a predicted model, not a curated record
CUGCCUUUGAGGGCGCCGAGGAGGACCACGGGCUAGGGAGGGAAGCAGACCCCUGGGUCCACAUGGCCAGCCUCAGUUCCACAGCUUCAUUGAGCUGAGGUCAACUCAGUAUAGGGAAAAAAGUGCCCCCCCCCCAGACGCGAAAUCGCUUUGCUAGAGCCUAAGAACAACAAAAGGUAAACAAAACCAGCAAGGACUCUUAGGGAUACAUGCUUUGGGAUGCAAAGCUGCUCAGGAGACUGGGCUGGAAAGGUCUACAAUCUCAGCGGGGAAUCCGGAACUACCUGACCAAUUGUGCCGGCUGCCGCUAACUGUGAUUGGUCCUCAGAGCCAUGGUUUCCGAAGUAUCUUAUGACUCUCAGGAGACAAAGGUGCUUGCUGUCAGACUGAAGACCGAGAUUCGGUUGCUGGAACCCAUUUGGUGGGAGAAGAAGAGUGACACCUGCAAAUUGUUCUGGAUUCCAGUCCUGUGUAAGAGCCAGCGCCCUUAGCGCCCCAGCCCUCCACAUGUAGCUUUGGAGGAAACCGAUGAGCCGCUUCCACGCUUUGGAGGAAACCGAUGAGCCGCUUCCACGCUUUGGAGGAAACCGAUGAGCCGCUUCCACGCUUUGGAGGAAACCGAUGAGCCGCUUCCACGCUUUGGAGGAAACCGAUGAGCCGCUUCCACGCUUUGGAGGAAACCGAUGAGCCGCUUCCACGCUUUGGAGGAAACCGAUGAGCCGCUUCCACGCUUUGGAGGAAACCGAUGAGCCGCUUCCACGCUUUGGAGGAAACCGAUGAGCCGCUUCCACGCUUUGGAGGAAACCGAUGAGCCGCUUCCACGCUUUGGAGGAAACCGAUGAGCCGCUUCCACGCUUUGGAGGAAACCGAUGAGCCGCUUCCACGCUUUGGAGGAAACCGAUGAGCCGCUUCCCCGGGUGCUCACGGUUCGCUCUCCCACCUCAGUGUAGCGCUCUGCUUUCUCUGUAUUGCACAGAACUCGGUGGUGGUGUUUCUAAGUCUCGCUGCAUCUUCCUGUCCCACAAUGAUCCUUUUCGUCGUGUGCCUGAUGGACAGAGAUGUGGAACCUCCUGCUCAUGGUCCAUUUUCUCUGGAGAGAAGUCUCUUCAUGUCUCUUGUUGAAUUUCUAUUUGGGCUGCUUUGGUUUAAAAAUGCCUGAAUUUGGA